This 253-nucleotide ribosomal RNA is filed under the name uncultured bacterium. RNAcentral's name for it is "partial 16S ribosomal RNA". It matches the Rfam family "Bacterial small subunit ribosomal RNA", at positions 524 to 776 of the family's 1533-position model. The record is from RNAcentral.
UACGGGGGGGGCAAGCGUUGUUCGGAAUUACUGGGCGUAAAGGGCUCGUAGGUGGCCAACUAAGUCAGACGUGAAAUCCCUCAGCUUAACUGGGGAACUGCGUCUGAUACUGGAUGGCUUGAGUUUGGGAGAGGGAUGCGGAAUUCCAGGUGUAGCGGUGAAAUGCGUAGAUAUCUGGAGGAACACCGGUGGCGAAGGCGGCAUCCUGGACCGACACUGACACUGAGGAGCGAAAGCCAGGGGAGCAAACGGG